This 70-nucleotide transfer RNA is filed under the name Acronicta major. Its description in RNAcentral is "tRNA-Ala". It matches the Rfam family "tRNA". Rfam says of the family: Transfer RNA (tRNA) molecules are approximately 80 nucleotides in length. Their secondary structure includes four short double-helical elements and three loops (D, anti-codon, and T loops). Lineage: Eukaryota; Metazoa; Arthropoda; Insecta; Lepidoptera; Noctuidae. The record is from RNAcentral.
AGGAUUAUAGUUUAAGUUCUAAAACAUUUGAUUUGCAAUCAAAAAAAAUUGAAAAAUUCAAUUUAUCUUA